UUCCUACGGGACGCAGCAGUGGGGAAUAUUGCACAAUGGGGGAAACCCUGAUGCAGCGACGCCGCGUGGAGGAAGAAGGUCUUCGGAUUGUAAACUCCUGUCCUUGGGGACGAUAAUGACGGUACCCAAGGAGGAAGCACCGGCUAACUACGUGCCAGCAGCCGCGGUAAUACGUAGGUGGCAAGCGUUAUCCGGAUUUAUUGGGUGUAAAGGGCGUGUAGGCGGGAGCGCAAGUCAGAUGUGAAAACUCAGGGCUCAACCCUGAGCCUGCAUUUGAAACCGUGGUUCUUGAGUGCUGGAGAGGC
RNAcentral lists this ribosomal RNA (305 nucleotides) under uncultured bacterium. RNAcentral describes it as "bacterial SSU rRNA". It matches the Rfam family "Bacterial small subunit ribosomal RNA", at positions 336 to 658 of the family's 1533-position model. The record is from RNAcentral.